RNAcentral lists this transfer RNA (55 nucleotides) under Epitrimerus sabinae. Its description in RNAcentral is "tRNA-Ser". The record is from RNAcentral. Lineage: Eukaryota; Metazoa; Arthropoda; Arachnida; Trombidiformes; Eriophyidae.
UUGAUAGAAAUAAAAAGAGAGCUUCUAACUCUUAAAAAAAAUAUUUCUUAGUAAA